AUUGAACGCUGGCGGCAGGCCUAACACAUGCAAGUCGAGCGGAGCGGCGGACGGGUGAGUAAUGCCUAGGAAUCUGCCUGGUAGCGGGGGAUAACGUCCGGAAACGGGCGCUAAUACAGCAUACUAUCAGAUGAGCCUAGGCCGGAUUGGCUUGUUGGUGGGGUAAAGGCCUACCAAGGCGACGAUCCGUAACCGGUCUGAGAGGCUGAUCAGUCAAAUGGGAACUGAGACACGGUCCAGCCUCCUACGGACGGCAGCAGUGGGGAAUAUUGGCCAAUGGGCGAAAUCGUGAGCAAGCCAGGCCGCGUAUGUGAGGAAGGUCUGCGGAGUGUAAAGCACUUUAAGUUGGGAGGCGUUACCAACAGAAUAAGCACCGGCUAACUUCGUGCCAGCAGCCGCGGUAAUAC
This 407-nucleotide ribosomal RNA is filed under the name uncultured bacterium. RNAcentral describes it as "partial 16S ribosomal RNA". It matches the Rfam family "Bacterial small subunit ribosomal RNA", at positions 30 to 526 of the family's 1533-position model. The record is from RNAcentral.